AUUGAACGCUGGCGGCAUGCUUUACACAUGCAAGUCGAACGGUAACAGGCCGCAAGGUGCUGACGAGUGGCGAACGGGUGAGUAAUGCAUCGGAACGUGCCCAGUCGUGGGGGAUAACUACUCGAAAGAGUAGCUAAUACCGCAUACGAUCUAUGGAUGAAAGCGGGGGACCGUAAGGCCUCGCGCGAUUGGAGCGGCCGAUGUCAGAUUAGGUAGUUGGUGGGGUAAAGGCUCACCGAGCCAACGAUCUGUAGCUGGUCUGAGAGGACGACCAGCCACACUGGGACUGAGACACGGCCCAGACUCCUACGGGAGGCAGCAGUGGGGAAUUUUGGACAGUGGGCGCAAGCCUGAUCCAGCAAUGCCGCGUGCAGGAAGAAGGCCUUCGGGUUGUAAACUGCUUUUGUACGGAACGAAACGGCUCUGGUUAAUACCCGGGGCUAAUGACGGUACCGUAAGAAUAAGCACCGGCUAACUACGUG
This 482-nucleotide ribosomal RNA is filed under the name uncultured bacterium. Its description in RNAcentral is "partial 16S ribosomal RNA". It matches the Rfam family "Bacterial small subunit ribosomal RNA", at positions 30 to 507 of the family's 1533-position model. The record is from RNAcentral.